UACGAAGGGGGCUAGCGUUGCUCGGAAUAACUGGGCGUAAAGCGCACGUAGGCGGAUUGCUAAGUCAGGGGUGAAAUCCUGGAGCUCAACUCCAGAACUGCCUUUGAUACUGGCGACCUUGAGUCCGGGAGAGGUGAGUGGAACUGCGAGUGUAGAGGUGAAAUUCGUAGAUAUUCGCAAGAACACCAGUGGCGAAGGCGGCUCACUGGCCCGGUACUGACGCUGAGGUGCGAAAGCGUGGGGAGCAAACAGG
This 253-nucleotide ribosomal RNA is filed under the name uncultured bacterium. Its description in RNAcentral is "partial 16S ribosomal RNA". It matches the Rfam family "Bacterial small subunit ribosomal RNA", at positions 524 to 776 of the family's 1533-position model. The record is from RNAcentral.